UCGGGUCACAGGUCACUCGUCAUGAGUCGGGUUAGAGGUCACUCGUCAUGCGUCGGGUCAGAGGUCACUCUUCAUGCGUCGGGUAAGAGGUCACUCGUCAUGUGUCGGGUCAGAGGUCACUCGUCAUGCGUCGGGUAAGAGGUCACUCGUCAUGCGUCGGGUCAGAGGUCACUUGUCAUGCGUCGGGUCAGAGGUCACUCGUCAUGAGUCGGGUCAGAAGUCACUCGUCAUGCGUCGGGUCAGAGGUCACUCUUCAUGCGUCGGUCAGAGGGCACUCGUCAUGCUUCG
This is a long non-coding RNA of Rhinichthys klamathensis goyatoka, 288 nucleotides long. RefSeq lists it as uncharacterized. NCBI's taxonomy places the organism in Eukaryota, Metazoa, Chordata, Actinopteri, Cypriniformes, Leuciscidae. The record is from RefSeq and is a predicted model, not a curated record. The transcript has 3 exons.